ACAUGCAGUCGAGCGGUAGCACAGAGAGCUUGCUCUCGGGUGACGAGCGGCGGACGGGUGAGUAAUGUCUGGGAAACUGCCUGAUGGAGGGGGAUAACUACUGGAAACGGUAGCUAAUACCGCAUAACGUCGUCAAGACCAAAGUGGGGGACCUUCGGGCCUCAUGCCAUCAGAUGUGCCCAGAUGGGAUUAGCUAGUAGGUGGUGGCUAACUGGCUCACCUAGGCGACGAUCCCCUAGCUGGUCUGAGAGGAUGACCAGCCCACACUCGGAACUUGAGACACUGCGUCCAGACUCCUACGGGAGGCAGCUAGUGCGGGCAAUACUUGCAUCUAUAUGCGGCGCACAGCCUGAUGCAGCUCAUCGUCCGCGUGUGCGUAAGCAAGCGCUCUUCGGGUUCGUAACAGCACUUUCCGCUGGCGCGACGUGAU
RNAcentral lists this ribosomal RNA (430 nucleotides) under Klebsiella pneumoniae. RNAcentral describes it as "bacterial SSU rRNA". The stretch from base 1 to 315 matches the Rfam family "Bacterial small subunit ribosomal RNA", at positions 53 to 356 of the family's 1533-position model. Lineage: Bacteria; Pseudomonadati; Pseudomonadota; Gammaproteobacteria; Enterobacterales; Enterobacteriaceae. The record is from RNAcentral.